RNAcentral lists this non-coding RNA (210 nucleotides) under Domibacillus aminovorans. RNAcentral's name for it is "Bacillus aminovorans T-box sequence". It matches the Rfam family "T-box leader". Rfam says of the family: Uncharged tRNA acts as the effector for transcription antitermination of genes in the T-box leader family. T-boxes are found upstream of many aminoacyl-tRNA synthetase genes and some amino acid biosynthetic genes usually in Gram-positive bacteria. The anticodon of a specific tRNA base pairs to a specifier sequence within the T-box motif, and the NCCA acceptor tail of the tRNA base pairs to a conserved bulge in the T-box antiterminator hairpin. The record is from RNAcentral. Lineage: Bacteria; Bacillati; Bacillota; Bacilli; Caryophanales; Bacillaceae.
GACAAAUCGGAGAAGGACAAAAGUACAUCAUAGCCCAUUCGACUAGAGAAGAGUUCCCUAGGCUGAAAGGAAUUCUGAAUGAAGAAUGAUGGAAAGCUAGGUCUCGAGUGCAGGAAUUACUGUCGUAUGCCGCGUUAAGGCGUUUGAGAGGCGAGUCGUAAAGUUGAUUCGCAAUCAGGGUGGUACCGCGAAGAAGCCUUCGUCCCUGUU